UACGUAGGUGGCAAGCGUUGUCCGGAUUUACUGGGCGUAAAGCGCGCGUAGGCGGACCUGCAAGUCGGGGGUGAAAGCCCGAGGCUCAACCUCGGAACUGCCUUCGAUACUGCGGGUCUCGAGUCCGGGAGAGGUGAGUGGAAUUCCUAGUGUAGAGGUGAAAUUCGUAGAUAUUAGGAAGAACACCAGUGGCGAAGGCGGCUCACUGGCCCGGUACUGACGCUGAGGCGCGAAAGCGUGGGGAGCAAACAGGG
RNAcentral lists this ribosomal RNA (254 nucleotides) under uncultured bacterium. RNAcentral's name for it is "partial 16S ribosomal RNA". It matches the Rfam family "Bacterial small subunit ribosomal RNA", at positions 524 to 777 of the family's 1533-position model. The record is from RNAcentral.